This 47-nucleotide transfer RNA is filed under the name Gaidropsarus argentatus (Arctic rockling). RNAcentral's name for it is "partial tRNA-Val". The record is from RNAcentral. Lineage: Eukaryota; Metazoa; Chordata; Actinopteri; Gadiformes; Gaidropsaridae.
CACCUCCCUUACACCGAGAAGUCGUCCUUGCAAAUAGGACUGCCCUG